ACGUCAAGUCAUCAUCGGCCCUUAUCGUCCAGGGCGACACACGUGCUACAAUGGCCGGCACAGGCGGGAAGCGAGGGGCGACCUUGAGCGGAUCCCUCAAAGCCGGUCUCAGUUCGGAUUGCAGUCUGCAACUCGACUGCAUGAAGUUGGAAUCGCUAGUAAUCGUGGAUCAGCCAAGCCGCGGUGAAUACGUUCCCGGGCCUU
RNAcentral lists this ribosomal RNA (204 nucleotides) under uncultured Thermovirga sp. Its description in RNAcentral is "partial 16S ribosomal RNA". It matches the Rfam family "Bacterial small subunit ribosomal RNA", at positions 1182 to 1382 of the family's 1533-position model. Lineage: Bacteria; Thermotogati; Synergistota; Synergistia; Synergistales; Thermovirgaceae. The record is from RNAcentral.